RNAcentral lists this ribosomal RNA (231 nucleotides) under uncultured Pseudomonas sp. Its description in RNAcentral is "partial 16S ribosomal RNA". It matches the Rfam family "Bacterial small subunit ribosomal RNA", at positions 1151 to 1382 of the family's 1533-position model. The record is from RNAcentral. Lineage: Bacteria; Pseudomonadati; Pseudomonadota; Gammaproteobacteria; Pseudomonadales; Pseudomonadaceae.
GCCGGUGACAAACCGGAGGAAGUGGGGAUGACGUCAAGUCAUCAUGGCCCUUACGGCCUGGGCUACACACGUGCUACAAUGGUCGGUACAAAGGGUUGCCAAGCCGCGAGGUGGAGCUAAUCCCAUAAAACCGAUCGUAGUCCGGAUCGCAGUCUGCAACUCGACUGCGUGAAGUCGGAAUCGCUAGUAAUCGUGAAUCAGAAUGUCACGGUGAAUACGUUCCCGGGCCUU